AGAACCCGGUGGGCUCUCCAUGCAUUAUUGGCAGCACUUUUAUCCAGGGGCACAGAGAGGGAAUAGGGUUACUGGAAACAGGGAGUGUAGCUCAAGGAAUUGUUCUCUCUCUGGAGUGGAUAAGUUGUUUGACCUACUGACUCAUUUCACAGGAAUUAGGAAAACAACCUAGUGUGGUUUUUAUUGUUAGUCCUGGAGGAUUCCAAAAUCUGUGUGCCUACAAAUAAGAUGAGCUAGGGACAGGGAGCGCUGGCAUUUGGCGUUUCUACUUGCCUCUUUUCCUGGUGGAAUCCGAUCCUCUGCUUCCAGGACAAGUCCUGCGCUUGGGAUCCUUUGUACGACCAUUCACAGGUGCACGUCUUCCGAACAAAUGCCUCCUGAGGAUUUCUGUGCCUGGAAAAUAUCUGUUAACAGAUUGCUUUUACACCUAUUUAUUUGGUGCUACUUCUACUCCUCAGGACCAAAGCUGGCUUUCACGGUUUACUCAUGUACUUACUGAUGAAACCCUGAAACUUGGAGCCAGUGACUGUUCAGAGGUCCAUAUGAAGAUGUGCUGAAGAUGUAAAGGACCGAGCAGUAAAGAGUGCUGGCUGAAUCCCUGGGCUGGGAAUCAGGCAUGUUGGAGUUUGAGUCCUGGUCUGCCACUCCAGCUCUGUGACCAACAGGAAGUCAUGUACCCUUUCUAAGUCUCUAGCCCAUCUUCUGAAAGAUGAAGAUGCUACCACCAACCAUGUUAGUGGUUGUGAAUGCCAACAAAGUCCAUGUGAAGCACAUGGCACAGUGUCUGCUGUGGACUAAGUGUUCCAAAAAUGGAAGCUAUGACAAUUUCACAGAGUACUCUUCCCAUCAUUUUUCAGUUCAUUUUGGCCUUUUCCCUCGAAAUCACUCCAGUGUUCUGAUCCAGCUGAUAAAACACCAAACAUUCAUAUAGUGCUUUAAAAGUGACCCACUGUUUUUAUAGACGCAUUACGUAUGACCCUAACAACCACUGCAAUAUAGAAAUUCGCAUCUCCAUUCUCCAGAUCAGGAAACUGAAGCUCGGAAAAGUUCAAUGAUUUGCCCAGGAUCACAUAGCUAGUAAGCAGCCCAGCCAGAUCCUGUGUUAACCUGUUCAUCCACUUCCUAUAAGAAAACAUCUUAAGGCAUGUGGGGCAACAAAGAAAGACUUAAAGCUGUGUGGCCGCUCGUCAGGACAGUGCCAGCUGCACCUACAGUCCGGCUGGAAUACUCCACUUAGGACUAUUGUGUCCCAUGUCCCAAACAUUUUGAAGCCACAUCUUAAAGAAGUGUCCUGCUCAGAUGCAGUUCUUGUGAAAUCCGCAGGCCCCAAGGGAAGUGACUUUAAUCCAGUUUGCUCAUGCAAGGACAGACUGGCAUUGCACAUCCAGGAAAACAAUGGAUUUGUACUGUUCAGCUUUUGCCAUGCAAGGAGUUCCUGGUGUCAUUUAUCAAUUUACAUCUCAGGCUCCAGCUUCACUAUCAGAUUUGGAAGAAAAAAAGUUACAAAGAAAGGCAGCUUGCUGAGAAACAGCAGAAGCAUGACAGUACAGACUGGGUUUUGAAAUGGAGACACAUUCUCAUGGCUUGUGGGCUGAGAGACACCAAGAAAGGAUUUUGUUCUUGAAAGAUGAUUGUUUUAAUGCUGGAGAUGGAGAGUUUUGACAAUUUUAAGUGCAUGUUCUGUGUGUAAGAGUCAUUACGUGUUUUUUUUUUUUUUUUUUUUCUUUCAGAUGUUGCCAUGCCUUAAAAUUGCUGAUGAUUAAAAUAGAACAUCCUGAGUUACAGAAAUUCAGCCCUACCGUAUCCUGGCCUAAAAAUACAGAACAAUCAAAUUGAUUGUUGGAAAUGAGAGGCUAGGGAGGGUUGGAAACAUGCUAAUGUUUACUGAGUAAAAUCUUUCCUUCUCCGUAGAGUUGCCCUUGCAGCUGAAAGUCACUGAAAGACUCAACAAAAUAAGCGGAUCCCACUUGCUCUCACUCUGUUCUAGUUUGCAUGACCUGGAAAGAGAAUGAAUGAGCCCUUUUAAAUUUGUCAACUGGUUUUCUUCCAUCUCCUUCCUAGUGAGCCACAGGGUUUUUUGCUGUUAACUGGGUAGCCAGUCUCUUCAUGCAGACUUGUUUUCAGGAAACUAGCGUCUUGCUUCAUGUGAAAACAGGGACCCAACUC
Long non-coding RNA from Piliocolobus tephrosceles (Ugandan red Colobus), 2166 nucleotides. RefSeq lists it as uncharacterized. Lineage: Eukaryota; Metazoa; Chordata; Mammalia; Primates; Cercopithecidae. The record is from RefSeq and is a predicted model, not a curated record. The transcript has 3 exons.